AAUCAACGCUGGCGGCGUGCUUAACACAUGCAAGUCGAGCGGUAAGGCCCUUUCGGGGGGUACACGAGCGGCGAACGGGUGAGUAACACGUGGGUGACCUGCCCUCAGCUCUGGGAUAAGCCUGGGAAACCGGGUCUAAUACUGGAUAUGACUCCAUGACGCAUGUUGUGGGGUGGAAAGCCUUGUGCGGCUGAGGAUGGGCCCGCGGCCUAUCAGCUUGUUGGUGGGGUGAUGGCCUACCAAGGCGACGACGGGUAGCCGGCCUGAGAGGGCGACCGGCCACACUGGGACUGAGACACGGCCCAGACUCCUACGGGAGGCAGCAGUGGGGAAUCUUGCGC
RNAcentral lists this ribosomal RNA (341 nucleotides) under uncultured bacterium. Its description in RNAcentral is "bacterial SSU rRNA". It matches the Rfam family "Bacterial small subunit ribosomal RNA", at positions 28 to 369 of the family's 1533-position model. The record is from RNAcentral.